Molecule: long non-coding RNA, 2772 nt
Filed under: Hordeum vulgare
Lineage: Eukaryota; Viridiplantae; Streptophyta; Magnoliopsida; Poales; Poaceae
Description: long non-coding RNA (HVUL_LNC004416)
Source: RNAcentral
CAAGUUUUUGAACAUAUAGCUUCUCAUAAACAAGUAACAAUCUAUUCACAAUUGUUGAAGUAUGAAGGAAACAACAAACUAUGUCCUUAGUUAUCGAGACAAUCCUAAUUCAUCACAUUUUAGAGGAGAGUCUAUGUAACGACCAAACCUCGAAGGAUUUGUGUCUCUAUUCUUACUGUGCUAGUCCCUGGAUCGAUUCGCUAGCACACACGGUAUAGAUGAACACCAUAAUAACAAGUGCAUCAUUUAUUACAACGUAUGAUCCAGAAUUUAUAAAGUAUAACAAUCUUCAUAGCUCUUAGCUAUAUUUAUUCAAUCAAACUGUGGAAAAGUAGUCGAAUAAUAAUGAUGAGUCCCAUCAUAGCCCACUGGCGAUGCUGAGUGAGGACUCGCGACCCUAAGAGUACCUUACUCCUCGUGUGAAUAUCCUGCAACAUGAGACGUUACAGCCGUAUAGGUCAAUACAUUGAAUGUAUUGGCAAGUACAUAUGAAGAAUAAUAAAGCAGACCUACAUGUACAUGCAUAGUAUAACAAAGGAAGGCUUGAUGGUUAUUUUGCAGAAAAAAUAAUUUUAUCCUCGUAACUACAUAAUAGUCAAUUUUUAAUUUGUUUGCUACAACAAAAUUACAUAUGGUUGAAUUGGCAUCUCCAACUCCAACCUAUUACCAUUGUUAAGUUUCCCACCAAAUUUCAUUAAGUGUCACAUGUGCCAAGAUCAUCCAACAACUGUAAUGGCCUAGCUGCUCCAAAUUUUCCUUAAGUGAGGACACGACUAAUCAUGAUUAGUUUUAAUACUCUGUAGAGUUUAGUACGCUUUACCCACUCGACCCAACUCGAAGAUUGAGACGAAGUCUUUUAGAAGCAGACACCUUGUCCCACAGGAGGCACAUCCCAACUAUCAUAACUACGUCUGCUCGCACAUCUGGGUAAGGUUUCCACAACUGGUCAACUAAGCCAGAGCCCAUAUAACGAGUGGUCGCACAUGGAAUCUACUAGUCACUAAGCGUGUGUAAUCUUUUUGAACCUGGGCGACAUUCCACUUACAUUCAGAGGGUCAAAACCAUGAUGUUCUUAAAACCACCCAGGAAUACCACAUCCGCCCACAGGUGAAUUAUAUACUUAGUUACUACACAAUUUAUUUUAUAAUAAUCCUCACAUAAUCUCAAUGAAUACAAGAACCAACCCCGUCUACAUAGCAUAGCAAAGCUACAAAUACCACGAUCUUCAUUGACGAGGGGAUAACUUAAAAGCAUAGCAUAAUGUAAUAAUAUUUCUAUACAUGCAUAAAUUCAUAGUGUGAUAUAUACUACUCCCUCCGUUUCUAAAUACAAGUCUUUUAAGAGAUUUCACUAAGUGACUACAUACGUAACAAAAUGAGUUAAUCUACACUCUAAAGUAUGUCUAUAUACAUCUGUAUGUAGUUUCCUAGUGAAACUUUUAAAAAGACUUAUAUUUAGGAACGGAGGGAGUACAUGCAUAGAAAACAAUAGGUAAAGGAUGAUCAACAUAUAACUUGCCUUGAUUCUGGUUCAAAAGGUUAGACUCCUGACAAUAGUUUGCAUCGCACUUCGGGCAAUCUACACGUUUCAAACAAUCACAACAAAUAAAUCACCACAUUCAAAUAACACCAAAUAAUACCAACAGUGAGACAUUAUUUUUAAAAUGAAAACAAAAAUAGCAUAACAGUAGGUACAAAUCAUCUACAUGCUGAUACAAUCACAACGCAAAAAGAAACAAUUAAUUUGGACGAACGAUUUGAGAGUUAUGGUUUCCGGUAGGUUGAAUUAAAAUAUAAACAAUGCAAAAGUGGAAUUUUAGUUCUACUAGAUUCUCCUUAUCAAUGCGAGUACAUAGGAAAAAGAAUCGAUGAAUUUGGAGUUACGGACCACAAGUUAUAGCCAAACAAAAAUUUGUUCAAAACACUACCAUGGCAGCGUUUCUGAACUACUGCAGCGGCUACUGUGUGUGUGCGCCAUGUGGCGCAAUGCUAAUGGACAAAGUCGGUUCACUUCAGAGCUUAUAUAGAGAACGAUCGAGCUCUAGGCAAAACCGGUUCGGUGGAAAAUAAAAUAAAUAACAAUAUAACCUGUGUCGUCUAACCCGGAUCGGACGGUCGGGAUGCUCCCCGGUUAACAGGGGCAAGGUGGCUGCCGCAGUUGGAGAAGCAGGGUGCGGCCGACUCGGUGGUGACGACGGCGACGAGUGGAGCGGGUGACCGCCGAUCCAGGAGUAACGGGAGGAGGGACGACAUGCGUACCGAGAUGGCGAACUCGGGAACGCCUUCAUGGAUGACCGGGGCUUGCUCCCGCGACGAGACGACACGGCUGGGGCGGCGACAUCGGAAUUGAACUUCGGGUCGAGGUCAACGUGCUCGCUAUGGUGCUCCCGUGCGCAAAAUAGAAGGUGAUGGAGAGAGAGCAGAUCAUGUUGGAUCGAAUCGGCGCAAGAGGAGGUGUUGGGAACCUCGGGUGGAGACGGAAUCACCUGGGGACGAAGCUUCCCUACGGCGGACUCCGACGAGAUCGGGUGGAAACUCUAGGGCACGGGAGUCUUCAAUUUUGCCAAAAAUCGGUCUACUAAGAGGUGGAGAUUACUUAUAAGGACGAUUACGUGGUCGAUGGGGAAUAGAUCGAUCAAAUCGAUCGAUUUUUUAUCGGGAACUAUCUCCACAAAGAAAAAUGGCACAACGGGGAAGACGACAUGUGGACCAGAGAAGUCAGCGGGACACAGGAGGGAAAGAAAAGAAGAAAAAACGUUGUGGUGGGCUCUUG